This 247-nucleotide ribosomal RNA is filed under the name uncultured bacterium. RNAcentral describes it as "partial 16S ribosomal RNA". It matches the Rfam family "Bacterial small subunit ribosomal RNA", at positions 15 to 257 of the family's 1533-position model. The record is from RNAcentral.
GAUCCUGGCUCAGAUUGAACGCUGGCGGCAGGCCUAACACAUGCAAGUCGAACGGUAGCAGGGAACAGCUUGCUGUUUCGCUGACGAGUGGCGGACGGGUGAGUAAUGUCUGGGAAACUGCCUGAUGGAGGGGGAUAACUACUGGAAACGGUAGCUAAUACCGCAUAACGUCGCAAGACCAAAGAGGGGGGACCUUCGGGCCUCUUGCCAUCGGAUGUGCCCAGAUGGGAUUAGCUUGUUGGUGGGG